RNAcentral lists this ribosomal RNA (1510 nucleotides) under metagenome. RNAcentral describes it as "bacterial SSU rRNA". It matches the Rfam family "Bacterial small subunit ribosomal RNA". The record is from RNAcentral.
AGAGUUUGAUCAUGGCUCAGAACGAACGCUGGCGGCGCGCCUAACACAUGCAAGUCGAACGGGGUACUUAGAGCAGAUCACUUCGGUGUGAAGCACUUUGUUACCUAGUGGCGGACGGGUGAGUAACACAUAGGUAACCUGCCCUUAGGAUUGGGAUACUCCCGGGAAACCGGGCACAAUACCGAAUAUCAUUGCGAAAUUAUGUUUUGUAAUGAAAGCUGCGAGCAAUCGUGGCGCCUAAGGAUGGGCCUGUGGCCUAUCAGCUUGUUGGUGAGGUAAUGGCUCACCAAGGCUAAGACGGGUAGCCGGACUGAGAGGUCGAUCGGCCACACUGGAACUGAGACACGGUCCAGACUCCUACGGGAGGCAGCAGUGGGGAAUUUUGCGCAAUGGGCGAAAGCCUGACGCAGCGACGCCGCGUGGGGGAAGAAGGCCUUCGGGUUGUAAACUCCUUUAGUACGGGAAGAAGCCUUCGGGUGACGGUACCGUAAGAAUAAGCCACGGCUAACUCUGUGCCAGCAGCCGCGGUAAUACAGAGGUGGCAAGCGUUGUUCGGAUUUACUGGGCUUAAAGGGCGUGUAGGCGUCCCAACAAGUCAGAUGUGGAAGCCCUGGGCUUAACCCAGGAAGUGCAUUUGAAACUGUCGGGAUUGAGUCGUGCAAGGGAGGGCGGAAUUCCUGGUGUAGCGGUGAAACGCGUAGAUAUCAGGAGGAAGGCCGGUGGUGAAGACGGCCCUCUAGGCAAUGACUGACGCUGAGGCGCGAAAGCGUGGGUAGCAAACAGGAUUAGAUACCCUGGUAGUCCACGCCCUAAACGGUGCGUACUAGGUGUGGGUGGCGAUAGUCAUCCGUGCCGAAGGGAAACCAUUAAGUACGCCGCCUGGGGAGUACGGCCGCAAGGUUGAAACUCAAAUGAAUUGACGGGGGCCCGCACAAGCGGUGGAGCAUGUGGUUUAAUUCGACGCUACGCGCAGAACCUUACCUAGGCUUGACAUGUUAGUGGUAGGAACCCGAAAGGGUGACGACCUAUUCUUCGGAAUAGGAGCUUUCACAGGUGCUGCAUGGCUGUCGUCAGCUCGUGCCGUGAGGUGUUGGGUUAAGUCCCGCAACGAGCGCAACCCUCAUCAUCUGUUGCCCUUAACGGGGCUCUCUGAUGAAACUGCCGGCGAAGAGCCGGAGGAAGGUGGGGAUGACGUCAAGUCCGCAUGGCCCUUAUGCCUAGGGCUACACACGUGCUACAAUGGCAGAUACAAAGGGUGGCCAAGCCGCGAGGUGGAGCCAAUCUCAUAAAGUCUGUCCAAGUUGGGAUCGGAGUCUGCAAUUCGACUCCGUGAACCUGGAAUCGCUAGUAAUCGUGGAUCAGCACGCCACGGUGAAUACGUUCCCGGGCCUUGUACACACCGCCCGUCACACCACGAAAGUCUGCUGUACCCGAAGUAGGUGAGCCAACCAGCAAUGGAGGCAGCUUCCUAAGGUAUGGCCGGUAAUUGGGGUGAAGUCGAAACAAGGUA